This is a long non-coding RNA of Zalophus californianus (California sea lion), 734 nucleotides long. RefSeq lists it as uncharacterized. Lineage: Eukaryota; Metazoa; Chordata; Mammalia; Carnivora; Otariidae. The transcript is spliced from 3 exons. The record is from RefSeq and is a predicted model, not a curated record.
GUGUAGUCCCCUCCCAUGUCAUAGCAGAGUUGUCCUGGGAGACCAAAUGAACACAGCAGCGGUGAUGGUCUGUCACUUCUGAGACUGGGUCAUGAAAAACAUCAUGGCUUCUGUCUUGCUUGCUCACUCUUGGAUCACUUACCUUGGGGAAAGCUAACUGCCAUGUCACAGGGACAUUUAAACAGUCUAUGGAGAGGUCCACAUGGUGAGAAACUGAGGCCUCCAGCCAACAGCUCUGUCACUGAGUGAUCUUAGCAGCAGUUCCUCCAGCCUCCUCAAGCCUCCAGGUGACUCAGCCCAGCUGAUACCUUGACUGAAUCGUCCUGAAAGACACUGACUCAGACCCACCCAGCAAAACCACUUCUGAAAUGCUGACCCACCAAAACUGAGAAGUUCACAGGACCUCCGACAGAGAGGAACCGCACGUCAGGAGAAUUACCUGCAUUGGGACCUGAUUUAAAUGGUGGCAUUCUGGAUUUUGAGCUAGUGACGUACAGGGGGCCCACUCCAGGGAAAGUCGUGAGCAGUGUUAUAGAGAAGGCCACGUGACACUGAGACCUUCUGCCAAGAACUGUUUGAACGAAACUUAUGGGAGAUGGCUCCUCCAGCCCCGGUCAACCCUUCAGAUGACAGCAGCCCCAGCCAGCGUCCUGUCUGCAAUCUCACGGGAGACCCAGAACCACUCAGCUAAGUCACUCUCAGAACCCAGUCCUCAGAAACCGAGUGAGAAAAUA